This is a long non-coding RNA of Camellia sinensis, 381 nucleotides long. RefSeq lists it as uncharacterized. NCBI's taxonomy places the organism in Eukaryota, Viridiplantae, Streptophyta, Magnoliopsida, Ericales, Theaceae. The record is from RefSeq and is a predicted model, not a curated record.
UCUCCCUCUAUUUCUCUUUCUUCUCCUGCUCUCUCCUUUCUCUCCAUCGACAUCUCACACAAACACAUGAGCACCACCAGCGACAACUACCAGCCACUGCCAAUCGAUUGAUUCCGAGCUUGGCAUUUGAGUCUAAUUCCGAGCCUUAGAUUAAUUCGGCGAGAGCCUUGGAUUGCAUCCCUUAUUCGAUUAAUUCAUUUCAUUUCAACUUUAUGAUCUCAAGCAGCAAGGAUUAUGAGGUAUUUUGAAUUGUGUUGUGUUUAUGGCUCUUCAAUGAAAAUUUCUAUUAAUUUGGUUAUGUAACAUGUUUUGAUGGUUUGAAUGUCUCUGUUCUUACAGAAAUUGUUUCCAAUUGCUAAUUGAAUUUUGCUUUGUUCUGAA